CUCCCUUCAACCCCCCGUCUAUAAGUGAGAGCUAAGGCAAGUUUAUCUCUCUGUCUCUCUCUCUUUACCCUGUUCUUCCAGUCUGAGGGGUGUCCUAGCAAGCCCACAGAGAAACACCCCAUUCAGAGCAUCUAGUAGCAAGCUCUCUUAGUUAGUAGUAGUAGUUAUCUGAAGAGGUUUCAGUAGCAAGCUCUCUCUCAACAUCCGUAGUUAUCUGAAGAGGUUUCAGUAGCAAGCUCUCUCUCAACAUCAGUAGUUAUCUGAAAGUUUUUCAUUCGUAAGCUCUCUCUCAACAUCAGUAGUUAUCUGAAGAGGUUUCAGUAGCAAGCUCUCUCUCAACAUCAGUAGUUAUCUGAAAGUUUUUCAUUCGUAAGCUCUCUCUCAACAUCAGUAGUUAUCUGAAGGUGUUUCAGUAGCAAGCUCUCUCUCUCUCAGUAGUUAUCUGAACGUGUUUCAGUAGCAAGCGCUCUCUCAACAUCCGUAGUUAUCUGAAGGUGUUUCAGGGAGUUGCCAAGUCAUCUGUGACAGUCCAUGAAGAGUUUAAACCACUUUCCUUUUGUCCUUGACCAUGUUAUGAAACUGAGUGCCGUCAGAGCUAGAAAAGGGGCUAAAUGUGUCUAAUUAUGCCAAAGUUUUACUUGAAGGAGCGCCCUAGUCAGGCUAGCUGGCACUUGUCUCGUUCAGUUUCUUCAAAAGUCCAUUCUUUAAUGAGAUGAUAGAGUGCUCAUUUGACUAAUUCAGUAAAACAUUUAUAGCAUCCCCUUUCAUUAAUAAUUUAGUCAGUUAUACAUUUUUUUCUGACCAUCGUCUUCAGUUUUUUUCUUCAAGAAACCCUGUUAUUCUUGCUGCCUGAAACUAGGGCAGGCACAAACCACAACAGAGGCAGAGGCCGCACCAAAACUAUCCCACUCACUCUGCUGUCUUGUUAUACAGUUAUGGGAAGAAUUAAUAAAAUAUAUAUUAAAGACAAGAGGAACAUUAACCAUGAAUUCAAUUCAAUUCAAUGCAAUUCAGUCUUAAGCACAAAGGAAAAACUCCCUCUUAACAGGAAAAAGCCUUGAGCGUGGUGGUGGGGUGGGGGGGAGCAUACUGCUUACCAUACAACAUGAUAAUGUAAAUGACUGAUUAAUAUCCUGAUAUUUUGGAGAGAUUUAAAUUCUAAUCUGUUAUUGAGUGUGUCUAAGAGCCUUUAGGAUCCUUACGCACAAGAUCACUUCCCCGAUGACAUUGUCCCGCCCCGUCCCGAUGGAUUCCCAAGUGGAAUUCCAGAUGUUCUAAAUGUGGACAGAGAAAUCCUGUUUACAGCCUUCUCGGUUCAAGAGAUAACUUGUGGGAACACAACUCAUGAGGAUGUGUUUGGCUUGCUGGGGGAACGGUGGUGUCGUCCACAGAGGAUGAGGAGGAUGAGGAGGAUGAAGAGGAUGAACAAUCAGUGGCCUGAUCAUGAGGAGCCACGGCUGUCGUGACUGGAGGAUCAGGAGCCAGUAAGAGCAGCAGGAGGUGUUGUAACCUGACAGAAAGCAUUCAUCACACCUGCGGCAGGCUUCCCUCAGACCCCCCCCCCCC
Molecule: long non-coding RNA, 1566 nt
Organism: Clupea harengus (Atlantic herring)
Lineage: Eukaryota; Metazoa; Chordata; Actinopteri; Clupeiformes; Clupeidae
Source: Ensembl